GGGCUGUGGCUCGAUAGUAGAGCAUCUGCUUGGCAUGCAGAAAGUCCCAGGUUCAAUGCCCGGGAUCUCCA
RNAcentral lists this transfer RNA (71 nucleotides) under Sphaerodactylus townsendi. RNAcentral describes it as "tRNA-Ala". It matches the Rfam family "tRNA". Rfam says of the family: Transfer RNA (tRNA) molecules are approximately 80 nucleotides in length. Lineage: Eukaryota; Metazoa; Chordata; Lepidosauria; Squamata; Sphaerodactylidae. The record is from RNAcentral.